RNAcentral lists this ribosomal RNA (253 nucleotides) under uncultured bacterium. RNAcentral's name for it is "partial 16S ribosomal RNA". It matches the Rfam family "Bacterial small subunit ribosomal RNA", at positions 524 to 776 of the family's 1533-position model. The record is from RNAcentral.
UACGUAGGGGGCAAGCGUUGUCCGGAAUCAUUGGGCGUAAAGCGCGUGUAGGCGGCUCGGUAAGUCUGCUCUGAAAGUCCAAGGCUCAACCUUGGGAUGCGGGUGGAUACUGCCGGGCUCGAGUCCGGAAGAGGCGAGUGGAAUUCCUGGUGUAGCGGUGAAAUGCGCAGAUAUCAGGAGGAACACCGGUGGCGAAGGCGGGACUCUGGGCCGAUACUGACGCUGAGGAGCGAAAGCGUGGGGAGCAAACAGG